AAAAAAAAAAUUAAAAAAUUCCCCAAAAAAAACCCUUUAGAGGGUGUCAUGCUAGUAGAGGAAGGUCUAAAUUUAUGUUUACAUUUAAAUCUUCAUAAAUGCUUAGCCAUAUUAUUAAGUUUAAAAUCAUCCGUGACCAUUAAAUGAAGUAGUUUCAUAUAUUACUAUUAUUGGGUCUUUUCCCAACCGCAAAUAAGCUUUGCUUGGUCUCUGGGCAAUCUCUUUUCUAAAGAUUGUUGAGCAGUUAUUAUGUGUGCCUUUUUUAAAAAAAGAAAAAUUGAAAUAAAUUUCUUUGCUUAAAAGCCUUAUAACUAAGUAAAUAUAAGACGAAAGAAAAAAUAAAGUUCAAAUAAAAUUUAAUCUGAACUAAGAAACACAAUAAUAAAUUCAAAAUAAACACGAGAAAAAAUCCUGAAAAACACAAUAAAAAAUUGUGAGUUUCUCUAAUCCAAACUCCUAGAACAGUUACUAUGUUAGAGUCUUUGGUUGAAAGAUAACUUUUGACUCUUAUUGUAGGGCAUUACGUAUGCUCUUUCCAGCUAAGGAUUGAAUGUGAAAAAUGAUUCACUGACUUCAUUAUGUGUCUUGUUUCAUUUAUAAAUGCAAACUUCACAACCAACAUUGGUUACUUGUCAACUACUUGACUGAAUCUUUUACAACUAGACUAGCUAACUUGCUAACUAAUUUAUUAUAAUUAACAUGCUUCUUGUUAAUUGUCAUGGUUGGACUAGAGAACCGAGGGACUUUAGUCUUUUAUCUUCUCAUAAAUGAAAUUCGGUGGCACCUUUAAACAUUAUUAUAAAAUUGCCAAAAUUGUUUGAAGAUGAUGAAUAUUCAUUUUGGUUUGAUAGUGAUUUGGUACUAUUUAUAGCCAUCAUGACUUGGAACUUGGAGUGAUUAAUUUAAGAAUAAAUUGUGUGGACUCUGGUUUUCUUUGGUUGGUUAAGGGAUGCGAGAACAGUAGCACAGAUAUAAUGACAUUGAAAAUAAAAUAUGCGUCAGUAUCUAUUAAUUAAGCAUAAUA
This 1024-nucleotide unclassified non-coding RNA is filed under the name Hevea brasiliensis (rubber tree). The record is from RNAcentral. Lineage: Eukaryota; Viridiplantae; Streptophyta; Magnoliopsida; Malpighiales; Euphorbiaceae.